This 316-nucleotide long non-coding RNA is filed under the name Struthio camelus australis. RNAcentral describes it as "lncRNA (ENSSCUG00000015703.1)". Lineage: Eukaryota; Metazoa; Chordata; Aves; Struthioniformes; Struthionidae. The record is from RNAcentral.
CCGAUCUUUGAAAACCUUCAUCUUUAUGAUACGCUGAUGAUAUCCAGGGACACUGUAUUCUGAAGCAUUUAAAGGUCUACUUGUAGAUGAUUCAUGCAAGGCAUUGCCUUUUCUUCUUUUGAGAACACAAGCAUGGUCUGAAGUAUGGGGUCAAGCAAAUGCAUCAAUACCUGCUUGCAAGAGUCUGGAACCGAGGACACAAGAAAAACAACAAGCAAAACUGAUUUCCACACGAGGAGCGGAAAUGUGAAUGAUAAAGUAGUCCUGCACCAUAGCAGAGAGGAAUAGCCACUAUCCUGGCUGACACAACUUUGUG